UUUUUUUUUUUUUUUUUUUUUUUUAGAGAGGAUCUUGCCUUGUUUCUCAGGCUGGCCUUAAACUCCUGGGCUUAAGUAAUCCUCCUGCCCCAGACUUCUAAUUGGCUGGGACUACAGGCAUGUACCACUGUGCCUAGUAGUUUAAUUAGUGUGAUGCAUCAUUUAUAAUCUGUGUAAGCCAAUUAUUAUGUCCCAUCACUAUACUCAUCUUGCUUACCCUUGAUUGUCCUUCGGGAAUAAGAAUUGAAUGAACUGGAAUUGUGAAGAAGAGGGUUCUCAUUACUGUUUUUAUUUUCCCUUUAUUCUUUAAUUUUACCCUCAGUUUCUUCUAGGAAUUACUUUACUCUGGGAAUGUUCUUAAUCACUGACUAGAGAUGAAGAUAAAAUGAAAUUUGGUCACCUUCAUAAGAUGUUGAUAUUCUAGUCCAUUUGCUAAUUUUAGUCUAAAUAGUAGGGAAAGGAUUUGAACCAUAAACAUAAAUUCAGUCUUAAAACAUUAUUCUUAAACCGUAUUUACCUGCAUUGAAGACAUACAUUGUAUUUGCCAACUCAAUAGAAGAACAGACAUAUACUUGAUUGUACAGCUCAACAGAAGGAGAACAGACAUAUACUUGAUUGUAGAUAAAUAAUACAAAAGAAAGGAGCUCCUCCUUUUCUCUUUCCCAACUUGAGUAUCAUCACACCCCUUUCCUUUCAGCACCCAGAGUUCCUUUUGUUUCUAUUAUUCCCCCUAAACCUAGAGCUCACUGAAAUUAAAAAGAAUGCUGUGGUUCCUCUCGGGACUGUUGGGUGACUUGAGCCUUUGACAAAUGCAUUACCCUAGGUUUUUUCAUCUCCAGCCCCUCAGCUUCCAGUAUUGCACAGUUGCUGUAUAUAAUUCCAUAUAUAACAUCAGAUCUUUAUGAUCUUUCAUCACAUUUUGAAAAGUAUGGUUCCACUGAACCUAAGCAGUAGGUUUGUAUUCAAGAAUACGAAGAAGUGGCCGGGCGCGGUGGCUCACGCCUGUCAUCCCAGCACUUUGGGAGGCUGAGGCAGGCGGAUCAUGAAGUCAGGAGAUUGAGACCAUCCUGGCUAACAUGGUGAAACCCUGUCUCUACUAAGUAUACAAAAAAAGUAGCCGGGCGUGGUGGUGGGUGCCUGUAGUCCCAGCUACUCGGGAGGCUGAGGCAGGAGAAUGGGCCUGAACCCGGGAGGCGGAGCUUGCAGUGAGCCGAGAUUGCACCACUGCACUCCAGCCUGGGCAACAGAGCGAGACUCCAUCUCAAAAAAAAAAAAAAAAAAA
Molecule: long non-coding RNA, 1282 nt
Filed under: Homo sapiens (human)
Lineage: Eukaryota; Metazoa; Chordata; Mammalia; Primates; Hominidae
Description: novel transcript, sense intronic to RNF111
Source: RNAcentral